This 209-nucleotide long non-coding RNA is filed under the name Capsicum annuum. RNAcentral's name for it is "long non-coding RNA (CANN_LNC000969)". Lineage: Eukaryota; Viridiplantae; Streptophyta; Magnoliopsida; Solanales; Solanaceae. The record is from RNAcentral.
UAUUAUUUGUAUAUCUUCUUCAGUCAUUUGAUUCAUCUAAUUCACUAUCUAUUUUAUUAUUUGUUUCAUUUUCUGAGAUUUCAUAUAUACUAUUUUCACUUUUUAGUUCAUAAUCUAUAUAAUCUAUUUGCAUAUAUUCUGUAUUUUCUAUCUUUAUUUCUGAUAUUUAUUUCUUUUUUGGAUCUUUGGAUACUUUACAAUCUUUAGCU